GAUGAACGCUGGCGGCGUGCCUAAUACAUGCAAGUCGAGCGAACAGACGAGGAGCUUGCUCCUUCGACGUUAGCGGCGGACGGGUGAGUAACACGUAGGUAACCUACCUAUAAGACUGGGAUAACUUCGGGAAACCGGAGCUAAUACCGGAUAAGAUUUCGAACCGCAUGGUUCGAUAGUGAAAGAUGGCUUUGCUAUCACUUAUAGAUGGACCUGCGCCGUAUUAGCUAGUUGGUAAGGUAACGGCUUACCAAGGCAACGAUACGUAGCCGACCUGAGAGGGUGAUCGGCCACACUGGAACUGAGACACGGUCCAGACUCCUACGGGAGGCAGCAGUAGGGAAUCUUCCGCAAUGGGCGAAAGCCUGACGGAGCAACGCCGCGUGAGUGAUGAAGGUCUUCGGAUCGUAAAACUCUGUUAUUAGGGAAGAACAAAAGUGUAAGUAACUGUGCACGUCUUGACGGUACCUAAUCAGAAAGCCACGGCUAACUACGUG
RNAcentral lists this ribosomal RNA (497 nucleotides) under uncultured bacterium. RNAcentral describes it as "partial 16S ribosomal RNA". It matches the Rfam family "Bacterial small subunit ribosomal RNA", at positions 28 to 507 of the family's 1533-position model. The record is from RNAcentral.